RNAcentral lists this long non-coding RNA (492 nucleotides) under Podarcis muralis (Common wall lizard). Its description in RNAcentral is "lncRNA (ENSPMRG00000001509.1)". The record is from RNAcentral. Lineage: Eukaryota; Metazoa; Chordata; Lepidosauria; Squamata; Lacertidae.
AUGAGAGUCCCAAAUAAGGAGGCUCCAGAGAUGCUAGCUCUAUGUCAGGAAAUCAGGAAUUUUGGACAUUUUCUUCCCGUGAGUUUCAUUUUCUUCCUUCAUGCUGCAGGGACUGCUCUAAGCAUUUCCUUUCUUUCUCUUUGCCCCCCACCCCCUCUUGUCAUUUUAGACAUUGAUGAAUGUGAACAUGGCCAAGAGAAUCCCUGCCCCUCUCUGCAGAUUUGCGUGAACAUACCUGGGAGCUUCAAAUGUGCCUGUCAGGGCUCCCUGAUUCCGUCUCAGGAUGGCACCACCUGCAUUGGGGGCCAAGGAGUCACUGUUACUUCAUUGGCUGCAGCUGCAGCUAUUGUGGCCGGAGCUAUUUCUCUCAUUGCCGUAGCUGUGGCACUGCAUAGAAGGUGUUUCAGGAGCAAGAAGGAGGUCUCCCUUUCUAGAGAUAGUCGCUGUCCCCAGGAUUGUUCCAAAGAAGGCCAGAAUCCUGACUCAAGUUAG